CAGGCCAUUGUAGAGUAGUUAUAAUAGAAAUUUGGGUUUUUUCCCCCCAAAGUAUAUUACAACUUCUGAAAAAGAUAAUCUCAUUUUAACCAAAAGAGAAGAAAACCCAUCAAAGGGAAUGUGAGAAAUUAUACUUUCCUUUCUUGUCUUUGCUGCCUAAGGUGAAGUGAAAUUGUUUUGUCCGUUAUCAGAUCAAAUGCAGACAUAAUUUAAGAAGACUAGCCUUCCGUUAAAGAUUUCAUCAGGUGAAGACAUCAGUCUUGCCUUCCUGCUCGCUGCAGUGCACUGUAAAUGGUCUCACAGCACAUCCACAGCUAGUUCACUGGACAAAGGUAUGCAGAACAAAACUUCCUUAAAUUCUCAAGAGACCUGUUCCACAAAACUGUGAGCAGAGUUUUGCUAUCUACAGAUUCACUAUCCUCAUCUCUCAUGAACUUUGAGUUCCAACUAGGAUAUUUUGGACCUAAGGAAUAAUGUAUCCUUUUAUUUCUCCAGGAAGCAACCAUCUAAUACAACGGAAGUUACAUAAUCGAGACCUCACUGUGAGCUUUGAAACUAUUUUUAAUCACCAGAACCUACUUCUCAUCAUAAAAGGAUAUCUCCAGCUCCAUAAUUUGAGGUAGAAAACAAUGGCAAUCUUGAAGAAAUACAAAUGACAAAUUAGAAAGCUGAAGUGGAGAAGCAUUCAAACAUGAGACCAGAAGGCACACUCUUACUCACAGGUCCCCUCAAUGCCAGAGUCUAGAGAAAACAUUUUAGGGAUAUAUUUAGUACCAUUGAAAUUGUUCCCAUCUUUACUUAGGGUGAGGUCAGCAUUAUGAUCUGAGAAAACUCUGGGAAAGAAGUCUGUCUUUUAAAGUCUGGUGUGACCCAGGAUUCUAUCUUUGAACAUUGGCCCUCCUAUGGGUCAUCGCCUCCUCUGUCAGAGUUUUACUUAUUACAUGUUGGAUAUGCUGGUGACACCCAAGUCUAUAAAUUCAACCCAGACCUGAUCCCUGAGGUUCAGAUUUGAAAGUGACCUAGAUUUACACAUGGAUGUCCCUCCCACAGGCAUCUGGCACCCCAUGCGGCACUCCUCCAAGUGCCCAUUUUACUCCCAGUCUCUCUCACUGGGUGGGAGGUGGGAGAGGGCUGAGCUAUGUCCGUUUUGUUCAUCUUUGGAGACCUAGGUCCUGGUCGACACCAGCUGUUCAGUAAGUAUUUCUUGAAUAAAUGAGUCAAUGAGUGGGACUGAACAAUUCUACAUGAUUAUACUUUCAUAAAAUUGACACUUACCUACUCAGGGUCACAGAAUGCUGAGUCUCUAGGUACUGUCCUUUUAGACAAUGAUUUGCUGUGUUUUUGCCUAUGAAGGUGCUGCCAAGUACAAACAAUUUAAUAUUACUGCCCAUUCCAUUGAUAGAGUUGUAAAUGGAGAAAUAUUGCCUUUCAGAAGAAUGUUUAUAAAAAUGCAUUAAAAGCAACACCUAAAGAGCAUAAUAUGAAAAAUGAUUUCAUUCUCGCAUGCAAAGUUUAGGGAAAACAGGCUUUGCCUCCCACAGAACAGGCAAAUUUUAUCUGGGUAUCUUCUGGGGGAAACUAUAGAAAUCUAAAUAUGAACAGCACAAAAGGACAUAGAAAUUUUAGGUAUUAUAAAGGAGUUAUUAAUUCUUCUUAUUAAUAAAGAAAGUAGAAUGCCUUAAAUCAAGCCCAUCAUUUUUUCCCAUUUAUUUGGGAUACCACUUUGUCAAGUGGUAUCAAACUGGUACUUACAAAAAUAUGUAACUGUAUUGUAUAUCUAAAACUUGCUAAUAGAGUAAGUCUUAAAUAUUGUCACCACACACACACACACACACACACACACACCACUGUCCCUCUCUGAGUUGAUAGAUGUGUCAACUAACUUCUCUUUGGUAAUUAUUUUGCUAUAUCUAUAUAUAAAUCAAAUCAUUAUGUGGUGCACUUCAAACUUACAUAGUGUUAUGUUAGAUCCCAGUAAAGCUGGUGGAAAAGCAUUUAACUGUUGUACAUAAUUGGUAGGAUAAAUUUUCAAGAAUCUAAAUUCUGUAAAUAUAUAUAAACAAUUCUCAAAGAGCAUCAAGUCAAACCAUCUGAGAAUUGAUUGCUCUCAAUUCAUGCAGGAUGUGCUGCUCCAUGUCCCGUCAGAGCCCACUGCUUCAUUCCUCCCUGCUGCGGCUUCUUUAAAUCAUAGCAGGACAUUAAGCAUAGACUGAUGUCUUGCAUUCUCCUAUGUUUUGGGCAACUAGAAAAACUGAUUUAUCAUUUAAAAAAAAUAAGUGUGUAGGGUUUCCUAUAAGUAGACAAUGUGAGAGUUAUGAAUCCUUUCUAAAUACCUUUCUAAGCAUGAAAUUGAGAAAUAUCCUGAAAAGUAAGAGCAAUCAGAUAGAACUAAGCUAAGGAAGUACAGUCAUAUGAUCCUAACUAGAAAGUUAUCUAUAUCUUGAUAAUGACCAUCUCCACAAAAAUCUUCACUGAAAAGACCUUCACUCAAACAAGAAAGAAAUAGUAACUUAUUAAAUGAAAAUAUGGGAAAUACUGUCCCAACUCCUCUGAGGUUGUUUAUCGUUAUGUCUUGAACAUUACUUUUCUAUAUUUUCUUUAUGGUUUUCAGUUAUGCAAGAAUCACUACUGUCAUUUAAAAAAUAGAAUGUCUUUAUUUUUAUGGGCUGUAGAAUUAAUUUCCUGCCUCUCUCAGAAAUAUCUCUUUUGCUAGGGAUGGCCAACAGCCAAUCUUGAUCCUAGAGGAAAUUAUUGAAUUUUUAAUUUCCCUGGAGGGAGAACUACUACAUGUAUCUUUUGUUUCUGGAUUUUAUCAUCAGACUGUAUGUUUCCACCUCAUUAGCCUUAUUUCACAACUAGUUUUCAAUGUGAAAAAGGGGAAGAAGUGGAAUAGAUUAUUUCAAUCCAGUGGUUAAUCUCAUUUGACAUACUCUUUGCUUUUAUAUUUAAUGAUAUACUUUAUAUUACUCUCCAAGUCAGAGAUCAAAGUAUUUUGUAGUUAUCACCUUACUAAUAUUCAUCAUGCUUCUUGGAGUUAGAUAGUAGAGAAAAUGAAAGAAAUAUAGGGGAAAAAAUGAUGAAAUCAUUUUCUCAAAUGGUGAUUACUGUUAAUUCUGAACUUUCAGUUCUAGAACCCUUAAGUAUCUAUAUAUAUAGCCACAAUUAUCUGGCCAAGAUUUAUUUUUUUAAUAUUAUAGUUUUAUUUGGGGAUCCCUGGGUGGCGCAUCGGUUUAGCGCCUGCCUUUGGUCCAGGGUGCGAUCCUGGAGACCCGGGAUCGAGUCCCAUGUCGGGCUCCUGGUGCAUGGAGCCUGCUUCUCCCUCUGCCUGUGUCUCUGCCUCUCUCUCUCUCUCUGUGUGUGACUAUCAUAAA
Molecule: long non-coding RNA, 3371 nt
Filed under: Canis lupus familiaris (dog)
Lineage: Eukaryota; Metazoa; Chordata; Mammalia; Carnivora; Canidae
Description: lncRNA (ENSCAFG00000056555.1)
Source: RNAcentral